RNAcentral lists this ribosomal RNA (423 nucleotides) under uncultured bacterium. RNAcentral's name for it is "bacterial SSU rRNA". It matches the Rfam family "Bacterial small subunit ribosomal RNA", at positions 917 to 1344 of the family's 1533-position model. The record is from RNAcentral.
GGGCCCGCACAAGCGGUGGAGCAUGUGGUUUAAUUCGAUGAUACGCGAGGAACCUUACCAGGGCUUAAAUGUAAGUUGCAUGGAUCAGAGAUGAUCCUUUCUUCGGACCACUUACAAGGUGCUGCAUGGUUGUCGUCAGCUCGUGCCGUGAGGUGUCAGGUUAAGUCCUAUAACGAGCGCAACCCCUAUCGUUAGUUGCCAGCAAGUAAAGUUGGGUACUCUAGCGAGACUGCCGGUGCAAACCGAGAGGAAGGUGGGGAUGACGUCAAAUCAUCACGGCCCUUACGUCCUGGGCUACACACGUGCUACAAUGGCCGGUACAGAGAGCAGCCACUACGCGAGUAGGAGCGAAUCUUCAAAGCCGGUCUCAGUUCGGAUCGGGGUCUGCAACUCGGCCCGUGAAGCUGGAAUCGCUAGUAAUCG